Molecule: ribosomal RNA, 276 nt
Filed under: Clostridium tepidum
Lineage: Bacteria; Bacillati; Bacillota; Clostridia; Eubacteriales; Clostridiaceae
Description: partial 23S ribosomal RNA
Rfam family: Bacterial large subunit ribosomal RNA
Source: RNAcentral
UAGGAAAUUUGAGAGGAGCUGUCCUUAGUACGAGAGGACCGGGAUGGACCAACCUCUGGUGCACCAGUUGUCACGCCAGUGGCACAGCUGGGUAGCUAUGUUGGGACUGGAUAAACGCUGAAAGCAUCUAAGCGUGAAGCCAACCUCAAGAUGAGAUUUCCCAUAGCGUAAGCUAGUAAGACUCCUGGAAGAACACCAGGUUGAUAGGUCAGAGAUGUAAGCAUGGUAACAUGUUAAGUUGACUGAUACUAAUAAGUCGAGGGCUUGACCAAAUAA